This 497-nucleotide ribosomal RNA is filed under the name uncultured bacterium. RNAcentral's name for it is "partial 16S ribosomal RNA". It matches the Rfam family "Bacterial small subunit ribosomal RNA", at positions 28 to 507 of the family's 1533-position model. The record is from RNAcentral.
GAUGAACGCUGGCGGCGUGCCUAAUACAUGCAAGUCGAGCGAACGGACGAGAAGCUUGCUUCUCUGAUGUUAGCGGCGGACGGGUGAGUAACACGUGGAUAACCUACCUAUAAGACUGGGAUAACUUCGGGAAACCGUAGCUAAUACCGGAUAAUAUUUUGAACCGCAUGGUUCAAAAGUGAAAGACGGUCUUGCUGUCACUUAUAGAUGGAUCCGCGCUGCAUUAGCUAGUUGGUAAGGUAACGGCUUACCAAGGCAACGAUGCAUAGCCGACCUGAGAGGGUGAUCGGCCACACUGGAACUGAGACACGGUCCAGACUCCUACGGGAGGCAGCAGUAGGGAAUCUUCCGCAAAGGGCGAAAGCCUGACGGAGCAACGCCGCGUGAGUGAUGAAGGUCUUCGGAUCGUAAAACCCUGUUAUUAGGGAAGAACAUAUGUGUAAGUAACUGUGCACAUCUUGACGGUACCUAAUCAGAAAGCCACGGCUAACUACGUG